Molecule: ribosomal RNA, 91 nt
Filed under: Nonomuraea soli
Lineage: Bacteria; Bacillati; Actinomycetota; Actinomycetes; Streptosporangiales; Streptosporangiaceae
Also listed under: 1 other name
Source: RNAcentral
ACCCGGUUACAUUCCGAACCCGGAAGUUAAGCUUCUCUGCGCCGAUGGUACUGCACUCGCCAGGGUGUGGGAGAGUAGGUCGCCGCCGCAC